CAGUAGCCACGGUAAUACGUAGGUGGCAAGCGUUGUCCGGAAUUAUUGGGCGUAAAGGGCUCGCAGGCGGUUUCUUAAGUCUGAUGUGAGAGCCCCCGGCUCAACCGGGGAGGGUCAUUGGAAACUGGGAAACUUGAGUGCAGAAGAGGAGAGUGGAAUUCCACGUGUAGCGGUGAAAUGCGUAGAGAUGUGGAGGAACACCAGUGGCGAAGGCGACUCUCUGGUCUGUAACUGACGCUGAGGAGCGAAAGCGUGGGGAGCGAACAGGAUUAGAUACCCCCGUAGUCCCUGUCUCUUAUAA
Molecule: ribosomal RNA, 301 nt
Filed under: uncultured bacterium
Lineage: Bacteria
Description: partial 16S ribosomal RNA
Rfam family: Bacterial small subunit ribosomal RNA
Source: RNAcentral